This 62-nucleotide transfer RNA is filed under the name Escherichia coli. Its description in RNAcentral is "tRNA-Asn". It matches the Rfam family "tRNA", at positions 6 to 65 of the family's 71-position model. Rfam says of the family: Transfer RNA (tRNA) molecules are approximately 80 nucleotides in length. Lineage: Bacteria; Pseudomonadati; Pseudomonadota; Gammaproteobacteria; Enterobacterales; Enterobacteriaceae. The record is from RNAcentral. RNAcentral also lists the same sequence under 21 other names.
UGUAGUUCAGUCGGUAGAACGGCGGACUGUUAAUCCGUAUGUCACUGGUUCGAGUCCAGUCA